GGAGAGGUUCCCGAGCGGUCAAAGGGAGCAGACUGUAAAUCUGCCGGCCUAAGGCCUUCGGAGGUUCGAAUCCUCCCCUCUCCACCA
This 87-nucleotide transfer RNA is filed under the name Terriglobia bacterium. RNAcentral's name for it is "tRNA-Tyr". It matches the Rfam family "tRNA". From Rfam's summary of the family: Transfer RNA (tRNA) molecules are approximately 80 nucleotides in length. Their secondary structure includes four short double-helical elements and three loops (D, anti-codon, and T loops). Further hydrogen bonds mediate the characteristic L-shaped molecular structure. tRNAs have two regions of fundamental functional importance: the anti-codon, which is responsible for specific mRNA codon recognition, and the 3' end, to which the tRNAs corresponding amino acid is attached (by aminoacyl-tRNA synthetases). tRNAs cope with the degeneracy of the genetic code in two manners: having more than one tRNA (with a specific anti-codon) for a particular amino acid; and 'wobble' base-pairing, i.e. permitting non-standard base-pairing at the 3rd anti-codon position. Lineage: Bacteria; Pseudomonadati; Acidobacteriota; Terriglobia. The record is from RNAcentral.